RNAcentral lists this ribosomal RNA (465 nucleotides) under uncultured bacterium. RNAcentral describes it as "bacterial SSU rRNA". It matches the Rfam family "Bacterial small subunit ribosomal RNA", at positions 338 to 795 of the family's 1533-position model. The record is from RNAcentral.
CCUACGGGGUGCACCAGUGGAGAAUAUUGCACAAUGGGCGCAAGCCUGAUGCAGCCAUGCCGCGUGUAUGGAGAAGGCCUUCGGGCUGUAAAGUACUUUCAGCGGGGAGGAAGGUGUUGUGGUUAAUAACCACAGCAAUUGACGUUACCCGCAGAAGAAGCACCGGCUAACUCCGUGCCAGCAGCCGCGGUAAUACGGAGGGUGCAAGCGUUAAUCGGAAUUACUGGGCGUAAAGCGCACGCAGGCGGUCUGUCAAGUCGGAUGUGAAAUCCCCGGGCUCAACCUGGGAACUGCAUUCGAAACUGGCAGGCUAGAGUCUUGUAGAGGGGGGUAGAAUUCCAGGUGUAGCGGUGAAAUGCGUAGAGAUCUGGAGGAAUACCGGUGGCGAAGGCGGCCCCCUGGACAAAGACUGAAGCUCAGGUGCGAAAGCGUGGGGAGCAAAAAGGAUUAGAUACCCUAGUAGUC